This is a long non-coding RNA of Polyodon spathula (Mississippi paddlefish), 1314 nucleotides long. RefSeq lists it as uncharacterized. The record is from RefSeq and is a predicted model, not a curated record. The transcript has 5 exons. Lineage: Eukaryota; Metazoa; Chordata; Actinopteri; Acipenseriformes; Polyodontidae.
UAAAACAAAUUUCAUUCCAAGUGUCUAUCUAGUUUCAGCUGGUAUAUUCUGCAAUCUACUCUUAGUGUGCAAGACAGACACUUUAUCAAUUUAAUAAAUAUAAAUGUGCUGUACAGGGUUUUUUUUUUUUUUUUCUAAACUGAAGUGAGCGGUUCAGUGUAAUGAGGAAUGAUACAGUUCUGUGGAACAGCGCCACUCCUGGAACAGACAAUUUACUGCAGCAUUGAAGUAAUCCACCCAGUAUUUGUUUUUUUUUUUUUGUUUUUUUAUUCUGUUGCCUGCAACCAGUUCCUGAAAUCGUGCCUCCUCUCAGCCUUAGACCAACCUCUUCCUCUGGGGGCGCCAUCACUCUCUUGGAUGAAUGCGGUGGGCUGGGGCUGCCUUCGACAGCAUCACCUGGGACGGAGAUAAGAGAAAACAGUGUCAGCACAUCUGAAACCCAGUUCCAAUCGGAGAACAAUAGCAAGGAUGGCACAGCCUGCCUGCCAUGAAAAUCAUAUAGAGGCUUGGGCUGGUUCACCUGUAUUUAUAUCAUAGAAGAAUUUCAUCGUCAAUGUUGAUGUUUGUUUGUGCAAAUAAGAUUAUUCCUCUUGUACCAUCACUGCUAAACACUGUUCACUCUUCAUGUUAUUAUGCUAGGGUAUAUUAUUGAUUUAAUCUCAAAGCAGAAGCACUUGAGUCAUACCUUUACAAAAUUUUCCUGAGAUACAUUUUCACUAUAUUUUUGCAGUUUCCUGGUAACCAUGUUUUAGCAUACUUCUCUAAGAUUCAUAUUGCUUUCCUGUUUCUGGUUGACAUUUUUAAUAGGAUCAGCUAAUUAAAAUAGUGAGUUUCAGUGUCUCAAUAAUUUGUCUUCAAAUUAAGAGAAAGAGAGAGCGAGAGAUAUUUUAAAAACUUUUUAAAUAUUAUUUAAUUUAACCAAUACCUUAAGAAAAAAACAAAAUGGCAAAAACACAUUAGUUACUAUUAACAAAAUUCAGAUACAAAAUGCAAUUAACUUAUGUAUCACCCUAACAUGUAAAGAAAGCACAUUAAUCACAAAAACAAAAGACAAUUUGAGUGUUUCCUCCUCAAUUAUACACCCAACUCCACCCACACACCAAGUGUGUUUAAAGUCUCUCUCUCUCUCCAGAAAAGGUGCAUUUGUCAAUGACCCUUCGAUCUAUUAUACAGAGAUCCGCUUACAUAAGAAAGGUCACAAACGAGAGGAGGCCAUUCAGCCCAGAUCUUAUUGAUCUGAGGAGCUAAUCAAGCAGCUUCUUGAAGGAUCCCAGCGUGUCAGCUUCAACAACAUUACUGGGGAGUUUGUUCCAG